GACGAACGCUGGCGGCGUGCCUAAUACAUGCAAGUCGAACGCUGAAGGAGGAGCUUGCUCUUCUGGAUGAGUUGCGAACGGGUGAGUAACGCGUAGGUAACCUGCCUGGUAGCGGGGGAUAACUAUUGGAAACGAUAGCUAAUACCGCAUAAGAGUAGAUGUUGCAUGACAUUUACUUAAAAGGUGCAAUUGCAUCACUACCAGAUGGCCCUGCGUUGUAUUAGCUAGUUGGUGGGGUAACGGCUUACCAAGGCGACGAUACAUAGCCGACCUGAGAGGGUGAUCGGCCACACUGGGACUGAGACACGGCCCAGACUCCUACGGGAGGCAGCAGUAGGGAAUCUUCGGCAAUGGACGGAAGUCUGACCGAGCAACGCCGCGUGAGUGAAGAAGGUUUUCGGAUCGUAAAGCUCUGUUGUAAGAGAAGAACGAGUGUGAGAGUGGAAAGUUCACACUGUGACGGUAUCUUACCAGAAAGGGACGGCUAACUACGUG
Molecule: ribosomal RNA, 495 nt
Filed under: uncultured bacterium
Lineage: Bacteria
Description: partial 16S ribosomal RNA
Rfam family: Bacterial small subunit ribosomal RNA
Source: RNAcentral